AUAACAACGUGACGGCGUAUUUUAUACAUCCCUAUUAUGCACAAUGCUGAUACCACCCCUCACUCCAAUGGAUAUUACUCCUGCAAACAUUUAUACUUACUGCCAAAAAUGGUACCAAAAUAAUCAUGAAUAUUUUUUAUCUAUCAACUGUAGUACGGGUUUUAUCUAAUUAUGUGAAACAAAAUAAAACGAGCAAAUGUUUCACAAGCAUUUUUUUGUAAUUUGUCGUUUUUUUGCCGGUCUUGGGACGUUUUGACUGACAUUUUAUACUUCCGAUUUCGGAUAUUUGAAGAAUUGUUUUGAUUGUCAAUAACUUUACAAGGAUACGUUGACGUCUCCUGCAUCGUGAGAUAUAAAGCCUUAGACUACAUUCAUGCCACUCAAAUUCAGCCACUCAGAAUGAUGGGAAGGAUUGCAGAACUGAGUUUCACUCUCACCUGACUGAUGCAGAUUCAGGAACCUAAUUACUCAUGAUGGUUUCUGAGAAAAAAAAUCAGCUUGGUGUAAAUUGACAGUAUUUUUCAGUAUUUGACAGUGGUUCUAUCAUACAACAGUCAUAACAUGAAGUGUCUCACAGAUUCUCUCUCAAUUCCUGCAAUAUCCAAGAUGACAGUGUAGUGCAAAGAGGACUAAUUUUCUUGCAAAAAGAAGUGUCUGCACUUCCAAAUACUCCGGUACAGCAUGAACAGUUCCUUCAUUUUUUGAGUGAUUAUAGAGUGAAAAUGUUUCCAAAUAAUAUGUUGUCUUUUUAUGUUUAAAACCUCACAUGUUAUAAAUGGUUACAAAUACAUGCAUGGACAUUUUCAUUCCAAAUCUAUGCAAAUUUUGAUUCCAAUAAUUAACCACAAAAGUAUUUUAAAUUUGGUUUGAAACAGACAUAUUGUCCUUUCUUUUAAAAAUGCACUCUUACUCCCACAUAAGAUUUCCCCAAUUAAUACUAUUGUUUUAUUAUUCCAAAAUGGAUGAAUAAAUGUCAAAAACAAUGGUUCUAAUGAAGGAUAUCUGUUUUAACUUGAAGGAAAUGUGCAUAAAACACAGUAUUUCUACCAUUUGAGAUCAUAGCAGAUCACAGUAAAUCUUUAAGCAUUCACACUGUGUUUGAACGGACACCGGAUAUAGCUCAAAAAGUGAUAAGUAAACAGACAAUUAUGCAGUUGUUUUUCUUUACCAGAUGUAGGAUCUUGCUGUGUUCACGCAUAUCUACCGUUUCCACAAAUGAGGCAAGUGUUUGAACUAAUAGUUGAAUGCUUAAUUUGGCAUAUGGUAUAAUUUAAAGUGCUUACGAUUUAGUAGACCAGGAUAUAUGUUUCUUCAAAUAUGAGAUGAUCACCUCAAAACUUACAGAAUUUAAACAACUAUUGUUAUUUUUAGGAAAUAUAUCGAAUAAAUAAAAAAUCUGAAUCGAAGGAUUUCACAAGCAUAAGCUCAACUAUUUUUGUUGUAAGGAAUGACAAUGUAGCUUUUAAACUAUUUAAGAUAUGCCCUUAGAAUAGAUCACAGUAUUGUACUGGGGAUAGCCGUAUUAUAUACUGGGGAGAGUUUUAAAGUUGAGAAAUGUGUCCUGGUGAUAACAUGUAAAAUGGGACAAAAAUUGAUAGUAACACUGUUUAUAUACAAUAUACUUGUCAGUCUAUUUCGAACUUUUAAAUAAUCUGCAAAAAGUGUGAGUACAAUUUGAUAAGAAAUUAUUGAGCAAACUUUAGUAAACAAUGAGUUUGAUCCAUGCUCUCCUAAAUGAACGUAUAUAUUCAAGCUGUUUAAAUAUCAGGGUUGGUCACAAUACAUACUUUCUCGCUGAAGUGAAUGAGCAGAGACCUUUAUUCGGUUCUAAGUAAUAGCAACAUCGACCCAAGCUUAGAAAAAGCUUCACGUGUUCCAAAUUUGAUCACAAUAUCUCAUUCCCGACUAAUGACUUUCUGUGUGCAAAAACGUACCUACUUGAUUUACAAAGCAAUACUAUAUAUAUCAAUAGCAAACGCGUUUUACUGUUACUUACUUUGGGUUGCCGGUUAGCGCAGUGGUUAGCGCACUCGCUUCUCACCUAGGCGACCCGAGUUCGAUUCCCGGCUUGGGCACAUGUGAGUUUGGUUUGUGGUCACCAAGCCGGACAAGUGGGUUUCCUCCGGGUUCUCCGGUUUCCCCAACAACACAAGACCACACUCUCGCGUAAAAUCGUGCCAACGAGAGUGAUUAAUAUAAUGUUGUAAUAACUUGUUUCACAAUCGUUGUAAAAUAAAUAUGUUUAAACUAAUAGCAAAUGCCACCUAAAUUAUACUGCCAUAUGUUUUGUGUUCCUCAAUAAAUCAGAUUACCGGCGUAUUUCAAAUAUUUAGAUAUUUCCGAUUCGAACGUUGAUGCUUGUGAAAAAUACAUCAUGGUUAACUUAUCUGUAUGAAUGAAACAGUUUUAAUUGCAUACAGAUACAAAAAAACAACAUGUUUUUUUGCGCUCAUCCCUCGAUAUGGACAGCAUUGAACAAUUUCCCUCGAGCUCGCGUAUAGGUAAAUGACCGUUAUCAUUAUUACAGUCUCGUUAUUCUGAAAACAUUGUUACUUUCCUCAGUCCACUUAAUAGCUAUCCCCUGUGCAGUUAUUUAUUUGCUUCAUCUAUUCCCAGUACACCGCCAGGGCAUCAAAAGGUAUGAAUAUCUCAGUAAAAACAAAAGAUAUCGUAUUGAUAUCUUACACAUUACUAGAUAAUGUAAUUACAAUGAAAUCGCUCGAUUCAGUUUUUAUUCUUAUUUUCAAUUUGUUGAUUUAAGUUUGAAAGCGUAACACAUAAAUGAACAUUUGUGAGCGAUCAUGCAACUUUCGGCGUGAAUUGGGCUAUUAUACAAAAGAGGAGAAACAUUUCCGUCAAAGUCGUAUAUUGCACAGUAUUAAGUUAUUCAAAACUCUUCGAUUUUGAUAAAUAUAUCACCAUAAAAUACAAAAAAAAUGAUAGAAAACUUUCCAUGUGUCAAAAUCAAACGCUUAUCGAUUAAUCACUUUUUGAGCUAUAUAAAUUGUCCGUUCACAUACAGUGAUUCACCAAUCAUUUAAUAUUUUUGCGUUUUCAGCUAUAAAAUACACGGUUACAAUAUCGUUAUCAGUACUAAAUAUUUUCCAUAAAUGAAUUAUUAAGUAAGGGUUAACAGUCAAAGUAUAUGUUUGUUAUACAUAGGUAUGCAUUGAUAUUGAAUAAGUGUGUCACUUUAAACAGUUGCCAUGGUAACUAGAGUCAAGUUUUCUUAAGAAACUGUAAUUGUUGUCUAAAAACCAUAGUAUUUUCAAUGUGAUACUUUUUUAGCAUGUCUGCUUCAGUCAAUAAAAUAUUUUUGUUAUUUUUUAUUCAUUUGGUCACACUUGGUAUACAAUUAUAUUUAUAGUAUAACCUUGAAAAUUGCUGACAAUCUCAUACUUAUAUAAAAUAUUCAGAAUUGCUAGAUGGGUUUCAGUUCACCUUUUUACAAUUGUCAGGUAAAUAAAUGCAAGAUAUAUACAAAAUUUUCCUUUUUAACAAAAAGCGAUGUUUCUUAGCAUUUUUUUGUAUUUGUAUUGAAUGGUUACCAUGGCAACUAUUUUUUUGUUUGCCUUUCAUGUUCCUAUUUAUAAAACUAAUAAUUGUAAAAAUGCAACAGUCAAGCAGUGAAUGGAAGAAUGUAAAUGUUCUUUGACUUUUACCUUAUUGCUUGCUCAUUCUUUAAAAUAUACGGCAUUUUUGAAAUUUCUUAAAAAUAGACGUUUUUUCAUCAUUUUUUUAACGUGAAAUAAUUUGUUUAAAACAUUGUUUAAGCUCUGAUAUUUAGGAAAAUGUAUUAAAUUUAUAUAAAGUAAACAAAAUGUGUUGUUUUACAUUAUUUAUUUCAUAUAAAUUCCGAAGUUUUGAAUUUGACCUAUUUUGGCAGAAAAAAUAAUAAAAAUGAUAAAUCAAAAGCGCCAUUAAUCUGUCAAAAAUUGAUGGAUUUUCAAAAAUAUGCAUAUUUGAGUUUGUUAUGACGUACCCUUUAAAAUGAUAUAUCACUUCACUAUACCGCAUGAAAUUAUUUUUUUACGUUGUUAUUGCUACACAUCUUAUAUCUAAACAACAACACACGUGCUAAUGAAAGGUUCAUGUAUUACAAUUCAUAUAUCUUUUGUACGAUAUUUAGUAGUUUUAUUUUUUGUUUAUUGUUAUGCUAACAUAGAUCGGAUAUCAAACAUGCAUUUGCAACAUGUGUUUUCUAGAUGUUAUUGCUCAUUAUUAAGCAUGUUUUUAACUUUAUAGUAUUGUAGUUAAUAUUCAAAUGUCGGCAUUAAAAUGAACCCUUUAGAACAUCUUAAAUGGUGAAAGUUUAGCUAUAUUAAAACGGUUUAUAUUACUUUAAAUCAAACAAAAAAAGUUAUUGUACAUAUGAUAAUGUAUGUUUAUUUACGAUAUUGUUAUCGA
Long non-coding RNA from Mya arenaria, 4407 nucleotides. RefSeq lists it as uncharacterized. The transcript has 4 exons. Lineage: Eukaryota; Metazoa; Mollusca; Bivalvia; Myida; Myidae. The record is from RefSeq and is a predicted model, not a curated record.